UUUUUGGAGAGUUUGAUCUUGGCUCAGGACGAACGCUGGCGGCGUGCCUAAUACAUGCAAGUCGAGCGCUGGAAGCUAAUUUCAUCCCUUCGGGAUGAAAUUAGUGGAAAGAGCGGCGGACGGGUGAGUAACACGUGGGCAACCUACCUAUAAGACUGGGAUAACUCGCGGAAACGUGAGCUAAUACCGGAUAAUACUUUUUAUUGCAUAAUAAGAAGUUUGAAAGGCGGCGUAAGCUGUCACUUAUAGAUGGGCCCGCGGCGCAUUAGCUAGUUGGUGAGGUAAAGGCUCACCAAGGCAACGAUGCGUAGCCGACCUGAGAGGGUGAUCGGCCACACUGGGACUGAGACACGG
Molecule: ribosomal RNA, 354 nt
Filed under: Bacilli bacterium
Lineage: Bacteria; Bacillati; Bacillota; Bacilli
Description: bacterial SSU rRNA
Rfam family: Bacterial small subunit ribosomal RNA
Source: RNAcentral